Thalassophryne amazonica is the source of this 254-nucleotide long non-coding RNA. RefSeq lists it as uncharacterized. Lineage: Eukaryota; Metazoa; Chordata; Actinopteri; Batrachoidiformes; Batrachoididae. The transcript has 3 exons. The record is from RefSeq and is a predicted model, not a curated record.
CGAAGAGAAGUAGAAAUACUCCGAGCAUUGCUGUGUCCCACUUUGUUCAGCUUCAUCCAAAUUUAACUGAAUACUAAGUUUUUAUGGCUUUCUGACAAGUCAACACACACUGGCAACAUUUUUAGCAGCAGCACGUAGUUUCUCUCCCUGGUCAAACAGCCUGUUAGGCCCCAUAAAAAAAACAUAAGUUUAUCAUCCUCGUCUGCAUGCCGAAAUCGGCCCGCAUCAAUUUUUUUAUAUGUUUUUUGGUGGGU